AUACGAGUACUAACUCACCGGCCAAAUCUCUCCUGCUCAUCCUCUCCGUCUUUCAUCUCUCACUCUCUCUGGAUAUGAUCUGCCCCAGCGACGGAGGAGAGGGCACGAACCUCUGCGAGCCCCGCGACAAAGGGGAGGGGCCGCGCCGGAGGGAAGUGGAAGGGGACGGAGGGGAGGGGGCCGCGUCGGAGGGUAGUGGAAGGCGACGGAGAGGAGGGAGCCGCGUCGGAGGGGAUGGGAAGAUGACGGACCGUUCCAGGCGACGGAGGGGAGGGGACGGCGACGGACGGAAGCGUCUGAGGCGGCGUCCACGGAGGUCUCUCUCGUCGAUCUCCGCGACGGAGGGCAGCGCGGGGUGGAGGGGACGGCGGAGGCGCCCGGUGAGGGGAGGAGCGGCGGCUGCGGAGUUUGUCGAGGCCAGCGAGGGGAGGAGCGGCGGCUGCGGCGUUGGACAUGGCUGGCGAGGGGAGGAGCGGUGGCGGCGGUGGACUUGGCCAUAUCCUGUAAGUUACAGGCUUACAGCUCCCUCGGGAAAUAAUACCAAUCGGCAGCAGAGGUGAUAAGUCACUAGGUAACCCUGUUGUUCCCACGCGAACACAGCAGGAACAUCUAUUGCAUUGGCAGAAGAAUCGCCGGAUGUUGGUACGUUAGUGUUUGCUGGCUAAAGAACGUCUAUUGAAUUCCCUAGUAGGAAAGUUCUAGGCCCAUCACUUUGUACAAAAAAUUAAUGCAAUACAUGUCUAGAUGAUCAUGUUCUUUUUCUCAAACUGUCAUUUAGUGUUUGCUGGCUUUAAUUUAGAUAUGCAAAUGAGGGCAAGUUUUCUUGUUUAGUACCCUGUUUCCGAGGCUCGAUCGAGGUGCUGUUGGCUAUUUGCUGGUGGCGAAGAGUGCGGGGUCGUCGUGACUAGCAGGUGCUGAAUCAAUGGCGCUUGACGACGGCGAAAUUUAGAUGGCAACAUGCACAUCGGAGUCGAGUAUUGUUGACGCGAGGCGGCAGCAAGUACGGGCGAGUCAGUACUAUGAGUCACUUCUGCCAGAAGCCAAAGGGGAGAAUGAGCGAGAAGUUCUACUGGUAUUGUUAAAGAUGUGGGCAUUAAACUCCAAUAUUUACAGACAAAGAUUGAUAGUUGACUAAGCUUCCAUGAUUAUCUGAGAAUGUUGUAUAGUUAUAUAGAUCAAAGGGGGCUAUGUACUAUAAAUACACUAUUAGAGGUAGGGCAAAGGCUGAAUUUGCCGGAUGAGCGUACAUGAUAACAAAUUUUGGAAUUGUUCCAAUGAAUGGUGCCAACAUCAGUACCUCGUGAUCUUCUGAUGCCUAGUUAUCAAAAGGAUUGAACGAUUUAA
This is a non-coding RNA of Lolium perenne, 1344 nucleotides long. The record is from RefSeq and is a predicted model, not a curated record. Lineage: Eukaryota; Viridiplantae; Streptophyta; Magnoliopsida; Poales; Poaceae.